UUUUUUUUUUCUUUUUUCUGUCUUUCAUCUGUGUGUCUCUCUCUCUGUCUCUUUCUAUCCUGCUCGAAAACCCUAGCCACCGUGAGAUGUAUUUUCUUCUUUGCCGAGCUCUUCCAUGGACUUUAACGAUGAUUUCGUCACUCCUCCUCCUCAUCCUCCUCCUCCUUAUGUGUGCUGCUGCCUCCUCCUGAAUCAAUGUGAAUACUUGUUACCUCUCACUCUCUUUCAAAAUCAUGUAAACUAUUUUUGAUAAGUAUUUUCUUAAACCAUGGUUCUCUGCUAAGAAAGCUAUCUGAUUUGUUUAGUAUUUAUUUUUGAUUUGCCAAUAAGGUUUAAUUAUAACUGAUUGUUACUUGGUUUACACGAUUCUAUGAUAUUAACUUGAGACUUAUGGAACAAUAAAACCUGGAAUUGAUUGAUAACUUGUUUUAUGAUCCCAUAGUUACAACUUGGUAUGAGUAAUGUUUGUGAAUCUUGAAUAUAGAGCAUGUAAAUGUGGAUCAGGCGUGAACCGGUAUUUCUUGAUGAUAGAGCUUUGAGUCAAAAUGAUGCUUGAAGUGCUAGGUAUCCGUCUAACAGCAAUGGGAUUGCAUGUGGUACAUAGUGCAAGUCAGUUGUCACCGCUUGAGGUUUUGGCGAGUCUCAAUAAUGUGGUGACAGUCUGAUCUCAGUUAGUUUUUUUAGAGAAAGGCAAGGGUCGAAUAUCAAAGUUAUUAGUGAAGUCUCUUUGCGACAUAGGUCACAUUCGGGUGUGGUUGAGCAAAGGGCUCGUGAUGAGAUGGUUGUGGAACAAGUUUGGUGGAGCAAUGGAUUCGAGAAAUGAAUUGAGGAUCAAA
Molecule: long non-coding RNA, 836 nt
Filed under: Eutrema salsugineum
Lineage: Eukaryota; Viridiplantae; Streptophyta; Magnoliopsida; Brassicales; Brassicaceae
Description: long non-coding RNA (ESAL_LNC000250)
Source: RNAcentral